This 88-nucleotide transfer RNA is filed under the name uncultured Microbacteriaceae bacterium. RNAcentral describes it as "tRNA-Gly". Lineage: Bacteria; Bacillati; Actinomycetota; Actinomycetes; Micrococcales; Microbacteriaceae. The record is from RNAcentral.
UCGAACUAUGGCGGACGGCCGACGCGAGUUCUUCCGCGGUUCUCGCCGACGACAGUUCUUCUUUCGGUUCGAUGCCGAACGCUCGAAC